RNAcentral lists this ribosomal RNA (559 nucleotides) under uncultured marine bacterium D015. Its description in RNAcentral is "bacterial SSU rRNA". It matches the Rfam family "Bacterial small subunit ribosomal RNA", at positions 339 to 916 of the family's 1533-position model. The record is from RNAcentral.
CUACGGGAGGCAGCAGUGGGGAAUCUUAGACAAUGGGCGCAAGCCUGAUCUAGCCAUGCCGCGUGAGUGAUGAAGGCCCUAGGGUCGUAAAGCUCUUUCGCCAGGGAUGAUAAUGACAGUACCUGGUAAAGAAACCCCGGCUAACUCCGUGCCAGCAGCCGCGGUAAUACGGAGGGGGUUAGCGUUGUUCGGAAUUACUGGGCGUAAAGCGCACGUAGGCGGACCAGAAAGUUGGGGGUGAAAUCCCGGGGCUCAACCCCGGAACUGCCUCCAAAACUCCCAGUCUAGAGUUCGAGAGAGGUGAGUGGAAUUCCGAGUGUAGAGGUGAAAUUCGUAGAUAUUCGGAGGAACACCAGUGGCGAAGGCGGCUCACUGGCUCGAUACUGACGCUGAGGUGCGAAAGUGUGGGGAGCAAACAGGAUUAGAUACCCUGGUAGUCCACACCGUAAACGAUGAAUGCCAGUCGUCGGGUAGUAUACUAUUCGGUGACACACCUAACGGAUUAAGCAUUCCGCCUGGGGAGUACGGUCGCAAGAUUAAAACUCAAAGGAAUUGACGG